Acanthopagrus latus (yellowfin seabream) is the source of this 414-nucleotide long non-coding RNA. RefSeq lists it as uncharacterized. The record is from RefSeq and is a predicted model, not a curated record. The transcript is spliced from 3 exons. Lineage: Eukaryota; Metazoa; Chordata; Actinopteri; Spariformes; Sparidae.
CUUCCUGCCACUGAUGUUCCAGUUUCUCUUUACAUCUGCUAUUACAUCAACUUUUCUCCAGGAAGACAACAGUUUCCUUUGACCAAGCUAGCUUUGCCAAGGAAUCAGAGAUUUUGUUUCCCUCCACUCCUGAAUGCCAAGUGGGGUGCUUUGAGCUCAGCCAGAGACUUUGGCCCAGCUCACAUUUCAGUGAAGUCCCUCUCCCACUCUACACCACAAAACUUCCCAGUUGAGUCAGCCGAUCAAUCAGCGGACUUUUCCCCCUUUUCUGCAAGCCACGGCGAAACAACAGUGAGAGACCUACCCCCGGCCCGAAGGCGCAGGGAAAUGACCCUCUCAUUCACCAGGGAAAACUCCAACACAUGGCAGCUGAGCUGAGGAGCUAUAAGCAAGCCAACACCAGCUCGCUGCCUC